Molecule: long non-coding RNA, 1243 nt
Organism: Astatotilapia calliptera (eastern happy)
Lineage: Eukaryota; Metazoa; Chordata; Actinopteri; Cichliformes; Cichlidae
Source: Ensembl
GGAGUAAGUGCAUAUGAGAGCAUGAGGGUGGGAAUGGAUGUUUGUGUCUGUGUGUGCCUGUAUGUCUGUGUCUAUAUGUCAGGCUGGGUACCAGACGCCACCUCUCUGGGGACACCUCAGGCCCUCCAAGGUUUGGAGGCCUAUCUCCACCUACCACCACUUCCCCUGCCGGUGGCGGACUCCCUCAGGUGUCGGUGCGUUGGUGGUUCUUUGUGUCUGGGGGUGGGCGUCCAGGUACACACCGGCUCACUCCUUGGCGGCCGCUUAUCGGGGCCUGGAGCCUGGGGCUCGCUCGGGCCCCUUCGGGGGUGGGGUGCCCCCGGCCUCUCGGCCUGGGGCUCGGUCACUCAGGCACAGCUGGCGGCCGGCGGAGCUCACGGGCGCGUCACUGCAACUCCCCCUGGCUUCUGCUCCGCGGCUGCUGAGUGAGCCCUCAUCUGGGACUCUCCUCAGCUCUUACUGGAACAGUGGCGCGGCUGCCCCUCUGUUGGUCUUCCUUGGUCUCUUGUGUUCUGGGGGCCUCUGGAUGUCUGGAGUUUUGAUCUCCUCCAUACCUGCUUCACACCCUGGAGGACGGGGCUGUGGCCCCCCCACACUCCCUAGCAGAUCGUUACAUGGAGAAACCUUUGGAAUACAAGCGCGCUGAUCCACACAGGUAUGCACACGGGUGUUCACUGCUCGUAGACCCAAAUUACACCUUUCUUGGCUGCUACUUCGAAGCACAUCUGUCCUGCGUGCUGCACAACAACAUUGAAUAUUUAGUAUUUACUGCUGUUUACACUUAGCUAGAUUAAUGCGAUGGUGUUGUGUUUAGUAUGUUGCUUUGUUUUUGGUUUUUUUGUCUUUUUUUUUGCUUGUUUUCUAUUCUUCUCUCAACAGGUGAUCCAGGAGAUUUUUAUUUAUUUUUUCUCCCCCCCUUUCUCACUGUCCCUCUCCCCUUCUGUUUUUCCUUUCCUUCCUCUUUCUUUCUCCCUUUCCUAUCUCUCACUCAUGUCUGUCCCGUCGGUAACAUCUGAAAAUAAAAUAUAAUAAAUAAUAAAAACAAAGAUCGACCAAAUGGACCAAUACGGCAAUGCCACGAUGAUCCAUUUGGCAAAGUAAAUCCACUGGGCAUCCUUGUUGGUCUUCAGACAACAAUUCUGAUGGCUAAAGAACCAAAUGGGACAGGCGAAAAAAAAAAAAAAAUAAUAAUAAUAAUCGACAUAAUCAACCUUAAUUGGAUGCAGUGUGGAAAAAAUUGCAC